GACGAACGCUGGCGGCGUGCUUAACACAUGCAAGUCGAACGUGAUUUUUGUGGAAAUUCUUUCGGGAAUGGAAAUGAAAUGAAAGUGGCGAACGGGUGAGUAACACGUGAGCAACCUACCUUACACAGGGGGAUAGCCGUUGGAAACGACGAUUAAUACCGCAUGAGACCACAGAAUCGCAUGAUGUAGGGGUCAAAGAUUUAUCGGUGUAAGAAGGGCUCGCGUCUGAUUAGCUAGUUGGAAGGGUAAAGGCCUACCAAGGCGACGAUCAGUAGCCGGUCUGAGAGGAUGAACGGCCACAUUGGAACUGAGACACGGUCCAAACUCCUACGGGAGGCAGCAGUGGGGAAUAUUGCACAAUGGGGGGAACCCUGAUGCAGCGACGCCGCGUGAGCGAAGAAGGUUUUCGAAUCGUAAAGCUCUGUCCUAUGAGAAGAUAAUGACGGUAUCAUAGGAGGAAGCCCCGGCUAAAUACGUG
Molecule: ribosomal RNA, 478 nt
Filed under: uncultured bacterium
Lineage: Bacteria
Description: partial 16S ribosomal RNA
Rfam family: Bacterial small subunit ribosomal RNA
Source: RNAcentral